Vespula pensylvanica (western yellowjacket) is the source of this 1178-nucleotide long non-coding RNA. RefSeq lists it as uncharacterized. The record is from RefSeq and is a predicted model, not a curated record. The transcript has 2 exons. NCBI's taxonomy places the organism in Eukaryota, Metazoa, Arthropoda, Insecta, Hymenoptera, Vespidae.
GAAGUAGAAGUAGAAGUAGUAGUAGAAGAAGAAGAAGAAGAAGGAAAAGAAGAGAAAGAAAAAAAAAAGAGAAUCCUCCUCACGGUGGAAUGAGGAAACUACGAACGAGGAGGAAGCAACGAGAAGGAGAGGCUCGGAUGUCACCACCGGCUGGUCCACGUCAGGCGUAUCAGGCAAACGGGACGACACGCUUCGCGGAUGUUGCACUGUUGCUCGAGCUUAGGCUUGCAGGCACGUUUUCUUCGUUGGUACCUACGCCGUAUACCUGCACCUGAUACAUACGCACCGAGAUACAUGUCAUUUAGACAAGAAUAUACGUAUCCAACUGGGAGGUCUCUGACCUUUCUCAUUGGAGAACCUCCGGCAGAAGAAAUGUGUUCUCUGUCUUUUUCUAUCCAGCGCAUUGAGAUCCGUUCUUUCCUUAUAUUCUUUCUUUUCUCUCUUUUUUUCUUUUUUUUUCCUCGACGAGAGCAAAAAACUUUUCCUAGAUAAUCGUCCAUUUCCUAAAGACGAUCCGUUUUAACACGGCUUGUGGGAAACUUCGAAAUCAAAGCUCUACUUGGCUUAUCCGAAGAGUUCCUGUAGGACACACGAUACUAUCCCAACUCGUUAAAAACGAUUUCCCAGUCACGACAUACCGAUAACUUCCUGAAAUGGGAUCUUCGAAGUUUCACGGUUACGUGUAGAUAAUUUCGAUUCACCGUUCGCGAAUCGUGCGGAAUGAAGAGGAUAUUUUUACGUGACUUCCUUCUUCCUUCAUUCCUCCUUAAUUAACGCUGUUCAUCAUCCCUAGUUUUAUAACGUUUUAAACCAACGAUAAAGUAAUAGGCAAUAAAGUAAUUCUUGAACGAUUUUCACGAACAAGAUUUCGUUUUAAAGCACGUUUAAGUCCUACCAUGGACUUUGUUUUAAAGUUCGAAUUUUCAAAAACAUGAUCGAUUAACGUGUUAAAUAGCGAUGACAGAAACUUCCGGUGUUGGAUACUGGAGCUAUCUGUAAACAAGGUUUCACUCACCUCCAGUUAGUCAAGAAGCCGGAAUCUCUUGAAGCGACAUGUCAUCCCGGAACUCGGAUUUUAGAGUAGACUCACCGUUAUCCCGUGAAUAUCCACAUGCAGCAAUCUACACGUGGUGAGAUCUGACUCGAUAUUACUUGUGAUAUAUCGAAAUCUAAAUCUA